UCCUGGAACAGGAGGAACUAACAAUAACCUGUCAACAUCUUUGGGUUUAAAAUGUUGGCAGAGUUGUAGUUAAACUGCAAAAUCCCCAUCACCUGUACCUUCUGUUCCCUUUGAACCUAAAAUUUCUGCUGACUCCUUGCUGUGAGCCCAUCUGUCUACAGCAGGGAGCUUGGCUGAGGCACACAUGUCUCCAGGUCUUUGAGGUCAAGGCUUCAGUAAGACUUGAGAAGCUAGAAGCCCUCACAGCAAGAGCUAUGUGAGCAGCAAGUGUGCCCUCUCUAAAGGGUUAGGAUGGCAGGAAAGAGCACUGCUUCUCCUGAAGGAGGCAGUUUUGCCCUUUCUGUGAGACACCACAUACUGACUUGUGGCAGCCCCUCAUAGCCAAGCCUUAAAUGACAAGCAGACCACAUUGGCCAUUCCCUACCUGCAGGCCUGAGUCACAGAUCAAGCUCAGGAUUGCAGCCUUCCCACCUUUCUACCCUUGACUGCUUACCCUCUGUUUAAAUCAUAACAGGGAUUCAACUAGAAAGGUUUGGGGUUUUUUUGUUUUGUUUUUAAUCUCUCAAGAUGUGAAGUAUUUGCUUACUGGAUUCUACUUACCAUGCAGCAUAAAUAAGUUUUCUUUUUAGGGCAGGAAAACCAAUGAUUUCAUUUCCCCCUUUCUGUAGUAAUAUGGCCAUGUGUGGCUGGAGCAUAGAGAUGUAAUCCUGGUGGUUUUUAAGAAAAUUAUUUUCUUGCUAAUUGACACUUCUGUGGAUGAAGACUUUGAAUAAAAACCUAUUAUUUUCUACA
RNAcentral lists this long non-coding RNA (792 nucleotides) under Bos taurus (domestic cattle). Its description in RNAcentral is "long non-coding RNA NONBTAT013429". The record is from RNAcentral. Lineage: Eukaryota; Metazoa; Chordata; Mammalia; Artiodactyla; Bovidae.